GAGAGGGGCUGGGCGGGAAGGACGCGGGUAGCUCGCCGCGUUGUGCAGCGCGCAGCAUGGCCGCCUGCAGGUAGCCGUUUUGGGUCGGUGUGCGGCUCGGGGUAGGCUGCCGGCCGCGCAGCGCUCCUAGGGAAGAAGCGCGUUUCACCUAACCUGGGAGCUAUCUGACAGGCUAUGCUGGGCUUCAGUGUGCUGCACCUUGGUUGACUGAAAACUUGGUGUGAAAAUGAUCAACUGCAACAGCACCUGUGCAGUAAUUAUGAAACAUGCUUUUUCACCUUUAGGUCACAUUACAGCUACUGCCUUGUGCACCAUAGUUCAGGAGCAUGAGAUAGCACAGAUUUGCCAGCUGUAGGACAGUUGGUGGCUGUGCCCUUCAGACAAUGCACUGAUGGUCCAGAGCACAGCAUAAAUUAUCCAGGAAGAGGAAUGCCAUUGUCAACUCUGCCUGAGUAGCUGGAAGUCCUAAGUUACACAGAUAAUUAGAUGAAGACAUCUGUAUAUAUAAUGAAUUUCAAGAAAUACGUUAAUCUCCCCCACUCUAGAGUGAACUCUAAUCUUCCACUGCCAUAGCAGUACUUAGGAGGAAAAGAGGACGAAAUAGGAGGAAAAUACUCACUGUAUUCAAGAAGAAAAUUAAAGAAAUAAAAUCAGAGAAGAGACAGUUCCUUUUCUGCAAAAUACAGGUGGAUGCUGCUAAACUCUUUUCUCAGGUACCCUGUGAUCAAAGGCUUUUAUUAGAAAAACCGGACAAGUGAAAGUGAAGAAUUCACUGUAGAACGCCUUAAGUUUCUAAAAGGAAGAAAAUGAUAAAUCAAGUCUAAAUCAAGAUUCUCCUGAGGAUCUACACUCACUGACACACUUUAUCUCUGCAUCCUGCUGGAUUCCUAAGCGUCAGCAUUCAUUUAAUUUGGCUGAACAGCAUGGAAAAGUUUGAAGUAUCUUUAUUUACGUUAUGCAAUAAAAUUUCUAUUGUUUAAGAAAAUAACAAACGAGAAAAAACAAAGAAAAUAUGAAUAUUUAUAAAAAUACAUCAUAAAGACAUAAACAGCACAGAAAAAUGAAUAAGCUAUUGUGUUUCUAAACAGAGAAAGUAUCUAAGGCAUGCUAGAUGACCUUUUUUUGAUAAUGAUAAUUGGUUGUUCAAAAUAUGUUCAUUUUGUAAGACGUGUUUCUAAGGCUAAGUUGCAUGUAUAAAUUGUGUUUAUGCAGGCAAUGCAAAAAUUUCAGUUUUCAAUUAAUUUUCUAAUUUCCACUUCUAACUUAAGGUGUUUGUCACAAUACUCCGGGUACUAGAUACUUAGCUUUUCAGGCAUGUUAAGAUUUUGCUGUAGGAUUCUUAUUGUUUCAAUAUUCUUUAUAUGGGGCCACUUUUAGCAGGGUAAUUUUAGACAAGCUUCAGUUCAGAAAAGUACACACAUUUAAUUUCUCUAUGGGGUGGCUGAGGUAUGUACACACAUACUGACCUAGUACCAUAAUUACUAGAUCAGUUUUCUUAAACACGCUAAUUUAUAACUCUUGAAAAUAACUGUUUCAAAUUGGUCAAUUUUCAAUGUGUGCGCUUAUACACAUAAAGAAUUCAUAAUGCUGUACAUGUUAUUGUCACAUAGUGCCCCUUCAUUUAAAGCUUCUUCCCAGUUGACAUGAUGCCAGUAUAAUCUAGUAAGUGAUAACAUGGUGUUUCCUGCUGCUUCCCCAUAUUCUCUUAAAUUUUACAUAUCAUUUGUUAUUUUGAAGGGUUUUCUGAAAAAUAAUAAUUCACGGCUAUUUUGUAUCCUAAAGAAGUGAUUGAUAUUUACACUACAAACCACAUUAUCUAUGGGUGUUUUGCAGUAAAUAAAAUAUAAUCAUUUAUAAUCAUACCACCUUGCCAUUUUUAAUUCAUGACAUGAGGUUUACUGUAAGAAUCAUUACCAAUAGUAAUUGGCAUUUGAUUUUAUACAAAGAGUAAAAGGCUAAAUUAGUACUGCUAUGGUUCAAUUUUGUAUACCAUGAAAUGAAUGUAUAGAAGCUGUUUAAAGCUAUAUUUUUAUUAAUUAUAUUGUUUAUUAAUUAUAUUAUAUUUAUUAAUAACUAAGCAGUGGUAUUGAGGUAACAUUAUUUUUGUAUUCACUCAAAAAAUUAAAACCAAACUUUAGAUCUCGUCAUGUAAUGCAUGACCUAUCAUAAUCACUGAUCUGCACAUUGCAUCAGAAGUGCUUCAAAAGAAUCCUCCAUUUUGCUUAAGAAUCAUGACACUGAAGCACAGCUGAACUACUUAUCUCCUUCAUAAAAGAUAAACCACUCAGACUGUUGACUAUAUCCCUAUUUUAAAUGGAUUCCAGAUGUCUCCAUGCAGUGGAAAGAACUCAACAGUUCACAUGAGACGUAUAUUUCAUUAUAUUAGGAGUCUAAAGAAGGAUAUUUUCUCAUUAAAUACUUAUUUUCCUCUUGUUAAUAAAAAACCCUGUUCUUCUUAAAAUAUCAACAACGACCAUCUGUAUGUGUUGCUUGUAGAUUGGUGUGAGGACUGAGUGUGAUCUAUCAUGUUUCUUUUGUUUCUGUGCCACUAUUUUUCUUCUGAAGUGGAAACAUAAAAAAAAUAUGAAUGGCUCCUAAUUUAAUAAAAAACACUGAGUAGAAUCCAAGCUUUGAAUUACUCUAUGCAUAGUUUUGCUCACUACAUCUUGCUACCUAUCAUAUUUUCUGUACAGAACAACAUAUUUUUAAAACAGAAGCUUUGUCUUUACAAUGCCACUUUCCAUAUUCUGGUAUGCAUCUCUCACAUCUCCUUUUUCUGGAUCUCGAAAGUUUAGACUGCUGCCUCUUGGUUCUUACAUCUUGUUUUAUUGCAAUUGAUACACUGUACCUGCCUCAAGUUUCACUCUUCCACACUGCUGAAAUUCUUUCCCAAUGAUGUUAAUAAUGUAAUUGCCAUUAAUUUCAAUAUAUUGGGAUUUCAUUUUGCCUAAAAGACAAAACAUCAGUAUCAAAUGAUGUUUGGCGUUCAGAUUGAUUCAAUUUGAAGAGUCCAGAUUCUCAGUACUUUCUGAAACUUUGGCUUGUUUUAUGUGCCUUGGCGUGUGAUACGUGAGAACAGGGAUCAUUCUUCAGAAGACCUAGAGACUGCAAUCUCUCAGCAUGACCACUCUGGUUCAAAAGGGCCAAGGUCUUGCUCUAGUUCCAUAGCCCCUCCUGGCUAGUGAAUAAUGCUCUUCCACUAAUGCCUGCACAGGUUUUAUUUGUGUGCCACAAAACAAAAACAAGUUUUCCUAUGUUUUACUUUCCUAUGGAACGUAUAUGUAAGUCUUACCAUCUAACAGAAGAUGUCUGCUUUUUUCUCCUCAAUGACAUAGUGGGAGAAACUGACUGGAUAUAUUUUAAUUAAGAUUAAGAUAACUAAUUGAGGGUUCCAGCCAACUCAGUGCUAAAAAUAUACCAUUUUUUAUACCGAAUAUUCUUUAAUAUGAC
This 3450-nucleotide long non-coding RNA is filed under the name Gallus gallus (chicken). The record is from RNAcentral. Lineage: Eukaryota; Metazoa; Chordata; Aves; Galliformes; Phasianidae.